GACGAACGCUGGCGGCGUGCUUAACACAUGCAAGUCGAACGAUGAAGCGGGUGCUUGCACUCGUGGAUUAGUGGCGAACGGGCGAGUAACACGUGAGUAACCUGUCCUUUUCUUUGGGAUAACGGCUGGAAACGGCUGCUAAUACUGGAUAUUCAGGCUGCAUCGCAUGGUGUGGUUUGGAAAGGUUUUUUCUGGGAUUUGGUGGGCUCGCGGCCUAUCCGCUUGUUGGUGGGGUGAUGGCUUACCAAGGCUUUGACGGGUAGCCGGCCUGAGAGGGUGGUCGGUCGCACUGGGACUGAGAUACGGCCCAGACUCCUACGGGAGGCAGCAGUGGGGAAUAUUGCACAAUGGACGAAAGUGUGAUGCAGCGACGCCGCGUGGAGGGUGUAGGCCUUCGGGUUGUGAACUCCUUUGUCUCGCGAAAAAGGCACAGUUUUGGCUGUGUUGAUGGUAGUGGGGGAAGAAGCGCCGGCUAACUACGUG
RNAcentral lists this ribosomal RNA (483 nucleotides) under uncultured bacterium. RNAcentral describes it as "partial 16S ribosomal RNA". It matches the Rfam family "Bacterial small subunit ribosomal RNA", at positions 28 to 507 of the family's 1533-position model. The record is from RNAcentral.